AGCGUUAAUCGGAAUCACUGGGCUUAAAGCGUGCGUAGGCGGCUCUGCAAGUAUCUUGUGAAAGCCCACGGCUCAACCGUGGAAUUGCUCGGUAGACUGCAGAGCUUGAGCCCGACAGAGGUCGUCGGAACUCUAGGUGGAGCGGUGAAAUGCGUAGAUAUCUAGGGGAACGCCAAAGGUGAAGACAGGCGACUGGGUCGGAGCUGACGCUGAGGCACGAAAGCGUGGGUAGCGAACGGGAUUAGAUACCCCGGUAGUCCACGCCGUAAACGAUGUGUGCUAGCCGUUGGGGCACUUAGUGUCUCGGUGGCGCAGCUAACGCGUUAAGCACACCGCCUGGGGAGUACGGCCGCAAGGUUAAAACUCAAAGAAAUUGACGGGGGCCCGCACAAGCGGUGGAGCAUGU
Molecule: ribosomal RNA, 406 nt
Filed under: Isochrysis galbana
Lineage: Eukaryota; Haptophyta; Isochrysidales; Isochrysidaceae
Description: partial Bacterial small subunit ribosomal RNA
Rfam family: Bacterial small subunit ribosomal RNA
Source: RNAcentral